AGUGAACGCUGACGGUAGGCCUAACACAUGCAAGUCGAACGGCAGCACAGAGGAGCUUGCUCCUUGGGUGGCGAGUGGCGGACGGGUGAGGAAUACAUCGGACUCUACUCUGUCGUGGGGGAUAACGUAGGGAAACUUACGCUAAUACCGCAUACGACCUACGGGUGAAAGCAGGGGACCUUCGGGCCUUGCGCGAUUGAAUGAGCCGAUGCCGGAUUAGCUAGUUGGCGGGGUAAAGGCCCACCAAGGCGACGAUCCGUAGCUGGUCUGAGAGGAUGAUCAGCCACACUGGAACUGAGACACGGUCCAGACUCCUACGGGAGGCAGCAGUGGGGAAUAUUAGACAAUGGGCGCAAGCCUGAUCCAGCCAUACCGCGUGGGUGAAGAAGGCCUUCGGGUUGUAAAGCCCUUUUGUUGGGAAAGAAAUCCAGCUGGCUAAUACCCGGUUGGGAUGACGGUACCCAAAGAAUAAGCACCGGCUAACUUCGUGCCAGCCGCCGCGGUAA
This 506-nucleotide ribosomal RNA is filed under the name uncultured bacterium. RNAcentral's name for it is "partial 16S ribosomal RNA". It matches the Rfam family "Bacterial small subunit ribosomal RNA", at positions 29 to 523 of the family's 1533-position model. The record is from RNAcentral.